This 1080-nucleotide long non-coding RNA is filed under the name Marmota monax (woodchuck). Lineage: Eukaryota; Metazoa; Chordata; Mammalia; Rodentia; Sciuridae. The record is from RNAcentral.
ACUCCAGCAGGAUUACUGAAACAACUUCAGGAUGGUCUCUUUCUCUUCUGCAGACUGAGGAAGAUCAACUAUCCUGAUGUGAACAUGUUAGAUCUUGACCGGUGGCUUUUGUCCACUCACAAGAUGGCCAGGGUCCUCCAUGGAGGACAAGUUCCAGUUGGAAAGAAAGCAGAAGGACCUUUCCUGUAAGACUUCAUAUUUUAAUAAGAGAGGGUCUUUCCAAGAUGGAGGUAUAUUUUAUGAGCCAGAUUUUGUCUUAUGCCCACCUCUAUAUGCAAAGAAGUCGGGGAAAUUACAUAGUCUGUUUUCUGUUGCAAUAACACAAUAACACUGGCUGGUUUAAUUAUAAAAAGAAAAGAGGUUUAUUUUAAUUCACAGUUUUGGUCCAAGGUCAAGGGGCUGCCAGCAUCUGAUGAUGACCUUCUUGCUGGCAGAGUCCAAAGGCAGUGGAGGUAUUAAGUGGCAAGUGACAAGGAACAUGCUUGUGUGUCCUGGUCUCUCUUCUUCUUCUUUUGAAGCUACCCCUAUUCAAUGAUGGGGUGCCAUGUUGAUGACCUUAUAUAAUGCUAGUUGUCUCUUCAAGGUCCCACCUCUAAAUUCUAUAAGUGGAUUAAGUUUUCACCCUCUUAAUACUUGACAAUGGGGAUUAAAUUUCAACUUGAGUUUCAGAGGGAACAAACCAUAUUCAAACCAUAACAUUAUCCCAAUCAAAAUAGAAAUUCUCAUGAAGUUUUAAAAUGGAAAUUUAUAUUAGGUAGGUAGUUUGUAAUUGUUUGUAAUUGUAAUUGUUGCCAAAACUUACUUCCAGGUUUUUGUUUCUCUAUUCUUAUAUGAUACUUGCCAAGCAGACUUUUUGUUUUGUUUUAUAUUUUAGGAAGUCAACUCUAUCAACUUUUUCCUUGGUGGUUUCUGUGUUUGAUUUCAUAUUUAGAAGGAUUUUCCAAUUUUUAUGUUAAAAUUUUCAUUUUAAAUGAUUGUAAUUCACAUGUAGUUGUAAAAAAUAGUAGAGAACGAUCUCAUAAACCCUUUACCAUUUACCUUAAUGGUAGUAAUAUCUCGCCAAAUGACAGCAUCUCAACC